UCCAAGACAAUGAAGAUGAACACACUUUGUAAAUGUGGGUAUUCGUCACAUUUGAAAAUCUCAUGGUCAAAUGACAAUCUAGGAAGAAGAUUUUUUGGUUGUAAAAGAUAUAAGAUUCGAGGCGUUCGGAGGACGAUUCACGUGGAAAGGGCUUAUUGGAGUAGAGAUCGCAUGGUUUGAGGUAUUUUCGAGUACGGUGGUUCUUGAUUUCUGGAGCUUCAUCAGUCGGAGAUUAUCGAGGCAACUGCCUUGGCGUCUGCAGACCUUGACUCUCCUCCUUUAUCUUUUAGUUUGUUUAUAUUGUUCUACUUUCCUAGACAGUGUUUCAGUUGUCAGACUGUGUUAUUGUAUAG
This is a long non-coding RNA of Nicotiana attenuata, 353 nucleotides long. RefSeq lists it as uncharacterized. The record is from RefSeq and is a predicted model, not a curated record. The transcript has 3 exons. Lineage: Eukaryota; Viridiplantae; Streptophyta; Magnoliopsida; Solanales; Solanaceae.